Molecule: ribosomal RNA, 870 nt
Filed under: Arthrobotrys conoides
Lineage: Eukaryota; Fungi; Ascomycota; Orbiliomycetes; Orbiliales; Orbiliaceae
Description: SSU rRNA
Rfam family: Eukaryotic small subunit ribosomal RNA
Source: RNAcentral
CUAUACAGUGAAACUGCGAAUGGCUCAUUAAAUCAGUUAUCGUUUAUUUGAUAGUACCUUACUACUUGGAUAACCGUGGUAAUUCUAGAGCUAAUACAUGCUAAAAAUCCCGACCUCCGGAAGGGAUGUAUUUAUUAGAUAAAAAACCAAUGCCCUCGGGCUCCUUGGUGAUUCAUAAUAACUUAACGAAUCGCAUGGCCUUGCGCCGGCGAUGGUUCAUUCAAAUUUCUGCCCUAUCAACUUUCGAUGGUAGGAUAGUGGCCUACCAUGGUUUCAACGGGUAACGGGGAAUUAGGGUUCGAUUCCGGAGAGGGAGCCUGAGAAACGGCUACCACAUCCAAGGAAGGCAGCAGGCGCGCAAAUUACCCAAUCCCAAUUCGGGGAGGUAGUGACAAUAAAUACUGAUACAGGGCUCUUUUGGGUCUUGUAAUUGGAAUGAGUACAAUUUAAAUCCCUUAACGAGGAACAAUUGGAGGGCAAGUCUGGUGCCAGCAGCCGCGGUAAUUCCAGCUCCAAUAGCGUAUAUUAAAGUUGUUGCAGUUAAAAAGCUCGUAGUUGAACCUUGGGUCUGGCUGCUCGGUCCGCCUAACCGCGUGCACUGAUGCGGCCGGAUCUUUCCUUCUGGCUAACCUCAUGCCCUUUACUGGGUGUGCUGGGGAUCCAGGACUUUUACUUUGAAAAAAUUAGAGUGUUCAAAGCACGCCUUUGCUCGAAUACAUUAGCAUGGAAAUAAUAGAAUAGGACGGCGGUUCUAUUUUGUUGGUUUCUAGAGCCACCGUAAUGAUUAAUAGGGAUAGUCGGGGCAUCAGUAUUCAAUUGUCAGAGGUGAAAUUCUUGGAUUUAUUGAAGACUAACUACUGCGAAAGCAUU